This 459-nucleotide ribosomal RNA is filed under the name Comamonadaceae bacterium. RNAcentral's name for it is "bacterial SSU rRNA". It matches the Rfam family "Bacterial small subunit ribosomal RNA", at positions 399 to 851 of the family's 1533-position model. The record is from RNAcentral. Lineage: Bacteria; Pseudomonadati; Pseudomonadota; Betaproteobacteria; Burkholderiales; Comamonadaceae.
GCGUGCAGGAUGAAGGCCUUCGGGUUGUAAACUGCUUUUGUACGGAACGAAACGGUCUGCCCUAAUACGGUGGGCUAAUGACGGUACCGUAAGAAUAAGCACCGGCUAACUACGUGCCAGCAGCCGCGGUAAUACGUAGGGUGCGAGCGUUAAUCGGAAUUACUGGGCGUAAAGCGUGCGCAGGCGGUUAUGUAAGACAGAUGUGAAAUCCCCGGGCUCAACCUGGGACCUGCAUUUGUGACUGCAUAGCUAGAGUACGGUAGAGGGGGAUGGAAUUCCGCGUGUAGCAGUGAAAUGCGUAGAUAUGCGGAGGAACACCGAUGGCGAAGGCAAUCCCCUGGACCUGUACUGACGCUCAUGCACGAAAGCGUGGGGAGCAAACAGGAUUAGAUACCCUGGUAGUCCACGCCCUAAACGAUGUCAACUGGUUGUUGGGUCUUCACUGACUCAGUAACGAAG